This 490-nucleotide ribosomal RNA is filed under the name uncultured bacterium. RNAcentral describes it as "partial 16S ribosomal RNA". It matches the Rfam family "Bacterial small subunit ribosomal RNA", at positions 29 to 507 of the family's 1533-position model. The record is from RNAcentral.
AGUGAACGCUGGCGGUAGGCCUAACACAUGCAAGUCGAACGGCAGCACAGGAGAGCUUGCUCUCUAGGUGGCGAGUGGCGGACGGGCGAGGAAUACAUCGGAAUCUGCCCAGUCGUGGGGGAUAACGUAGGGAAACUUACGCUAAUACCGCAUACGACCUUCGGGUGAAAGAGGGGGAUCGCAAGACCUCUCGCGAUUGGAUGAGCCGAUGUCGGAUUAGCUAGUUAGCGGGGUAAUGGCCCACCAAGGCGACGAUCCGUAGCUGGUCUGAGAGGAUGAUCAGCCACACUGGGACUGAGACACGGUCCAGACUCCUACGGGAGGCAGCAGUGGGGAAUAUUGGACAAUGGGCGCAAGCCUGAUCCAGCCAUACCGCGUGGGUGAAGAAGGCCUUCGGGUUGUAAAGCCCUUUUGUUGGGAAAGAAAUCUUUCAGGCUAAUACCCUGGGAGGAUGACGGUACCCAAAGAAUAAGCACCGGCUAACUUCGUG